GACGGAGGGCGCGAGCGUUGUUCGGAAUCACUGGGCGUAAAGCGCGCGCAGGCGGAUGUGGCAAGUCGGGAGUGAAAUUCCGGGGCUCAACCCCGGAACCGCUCCCGAGACCGUUCGUCUAGGGACCGGUAGAGGCCGGUGGAAUUCCCGGUGUAGCGGUGGAAUGCGUAGAGAUCGGGAAGAACACCAGUGGCGAAGGCGGCCGGCUGGGCCGGGUCCGACGCUGAGGCGCGAAAGCGUGGGGAGCAAACAGG
This 254-nucleotide unclassified non-coding RNA is filed under the name uncultured Gemmatimonadota bacterium. RNAcentral describes it as "uncultured Gemmatimonadetes bacterium contains 16S-23S intergenic spacer region". It matches the Rfam family "Bacterial small subunit ribosomal RNA", at positions 524 to 776 of the family's 1533-position model. The record is from RNAcentral. Lineage: Bacteria; Pseudomonadati; Gemmatimonadota.